GGCUUUUUGAAUAUUAAUUUAAGGUUCGGUCUGCCCACUGACUAUUAGUUUAAUGGCCGCAGUAUCUUAACUGUGCAAAGGUAGCAUAAUCAUUAGUCUUUUAAUUGAAGGCUUGUAUGAAUGAUUAGACGAGAUGAAAGCUGUUUCAUAAGAAAAAUUAGAAUUUUAUUUUUUAGUUAAAAAGCUAAAAUUUUUUUAAAAGGCGAGAAGACCCUAUAGCUCUUUAUACUAAUUAAUUUAUUUUUGUUAGGUUUAUUUAUUAUUUAAUUUAUUAUGUAUUAUGUUGGGGUGAUGGUGAAAUUUAAUAAACUUUCAUUAAUAAAUUUCCAUUAAUUUAUGAUUAUUUUUUGAUCCUUUACUAUUGAUUAAAAAUUUAAGUUACCUUAGGGAUAACAGCGUAAUUAUUUUGGAGAGUUCAUAUCGAUAAAAUGGAUUGCGACCUCGAUGUUGGAUUAAAAUUAAUUCUGGGGGUAGUAUUUCAGAUGAUUAAGUCUGUUCGACUUUUAAUAUUUU
RNAcentral lists this ribosomal RNA (513 nucleotides) under Peloropeodes sp. Pollet 0306. RNAcentral describes it as "partial 16S ribosomal RNA". It matches the Rfam family "Bacterial large subunit ribosomal RNA", at positions 1819 to 2597 of the family's 2925-position model. Lineage: Eukaryota; Metazoa; Arthropoda; Insecta; Diptera; Dolichopodidae. The record is from RNAcentral.